GGCCUCAACAAAACAGUCUCAGUGAGAAU
Molecule: non-coding RNA, 29 nt
Filed under: Mus musculus (house mouse)
Lineage: Eukaryota; Metazoa; Chordata; Mammalia; Rodentia; Muridae
Source: RNAcentral